UGUUGGUAUUGUCUGAAUAGGGAGAGGGCCCACAGGCUGCAUGACAGCUCCUCUUUCUCCCCCCACUCAUGAAGGACACUCAGCUUGUGUAAUGUAGUCGCACAGCAAGGACAGGAGAGCGUCUGGAGGAAAUCCUGGGAAACUCUGUGAUUUCACCAGGAUGGAAACCAGAAGAUAUGAGACAAGAUGACACAGAGUGACUGAUCUCUUCGUCUUCCCUGGAUGCCUGACGCGGCGCGACGAUGGGAAACAUCUUCCAGUGCUGCUGCGGAUUGUUGAGCUUCUUCAAGUAUCCUGGCGAUCCGAUUCAACAGGGCGCUGAGCAAUCCCCUCUUCUAUCAAGCGAGGAAAUCGAUCUUGACUCGUUGGAUGACAGUAUGAUAAACCCUUUAACUGGUAUAGCAAACCCUGCUCUUGAGCCAGAGCACUUCCUGUUUCCUGACAUCAUACUCAGCAGCAACCCUGCAGGCGAAGUGACUCUGGUGGAGCCCAUGGUGUGUCUGCUUGUUUCUGAGGAAGACGAGGCGCAGGGAGUGGAAGGAGACGCAAGGGAAGGAAGAGACAGGUAUUUCUCUGAGGUGGAGACGCAAACCGAAGUGGAGAUUCAGAUUAGUGCGGCGGUUCAGACUCAGACUGACUCUGAGCCAGAAAUUCAGACGAAGAACGCUAAAGACAUCACAGCUUCAACAAAAGCAAAAUCAGAAAUGGAGCAAAACAUCAAGCUUCAUGAAGAGAGCGUAGCAAGGUUUGUUCGGCCUGAGCAGCACCAGGUACUGAUCCAUCCCAGUGGAAAUGGUUCUGAGAGGACCCAACACUUUGGUGCAGAACCUAAAAGCAACAACACUCAUGAGGACUUCCAAGUAAAACAUGAACUAAGUGAUGAAGAUCCAGGAGUCCAUCACUUAAAAAAUGAAAUUAUCCACACUGAUGAGUUAGUAGAUGAACAAAUAUUUAACAAGACUCACAUGAAUGACCCGGAAAACAUAAAGAGAGAAAAGGAGGACCAGGAUAAAAAUGGUUUGCAGCCUCUUUCAGAGGAGGAGCCGCUUGUCAAAGGUGUGGCUUCAGAAACCUCUGAGGAUGAGCUGUCCAACAAGAGAAAAACUCUGCCAAGCGAUGGAGAAGUCGUUGAUCUUCAUGAGGACAAAUUUACAGUCCGAAUUCAGCCGCCGGGAACAGAAAGUUUUGAUCUUCAGGUAUCAGGGCAGAUGUCGAUAUCUGAGCUCCAUCAGGUGCUUAUGGAUCAUGAACUCACCUUCCAGCGCUCCUGCUUCUCCCUGCAGCUGGGAGGCGCCGUCCUGGACAGCGCCGCCGAGCUGGGCUCCAUCCAGGGAAUCCAGGAGGGGGCGCUGAUCAGGGUGGUGGAGGGUAACUGACUCUAACUUUCUCCCCUCCUCCUCUCUGCUCACUGCUUUUCACGACAAUCAUUUGACCUUGGACCAGAAGCUACCAGAAGAGAAUCAGUCUGAAUGUUUUACACGCUGACAGUUGUUUUGAAAAAGCUGAAAACUGAGCAAAUUUAGUGAGAACAGAAACUCCUGAAGAAGCAGAAGAAGAAUGCUCUGCAAUGUCCGGGAACUUUUCAAGCCUUAUUGACGCCUGAGGUAGCUCACAUAUAGUUAUGGUUUUAUUAUGGUAAUUUUAUCUAUUAACACAAGAAGAAGUUAAUCUUUGUUAUGAUCUUCAUGUGUGACCAAAAGUUUUGAGACUGUCAAAUGUUUUUUUGUUUUUUUUUAGCUUAAAUGUUGUAAGAACCUUUUCACUGACAAUUUAAUAUUAAAUAUUUGACGUGUUUCAAAUACCUUAAUUAAAGAUAAUCAAAAUUUUGUAAAGUUCCAGUAAUGAAAAUGUUAAACUUUCUCAUGUAAAUUGCAGGAUUACUGGUUGAUAUUACCUGUGCUUGGAAGAUGUCAUAAUGUUUGAUGUUGUUCACUAAGUUUUUUGAGGAUUCUCAGUGGGAUUAAGAUCUGGAGUGUUUCUUGACCACAGAGUCAAACACAAAAUAUUUUUGUAUAGUUUCAAGUGCAAAGUCAAGCAUGUUUUGCUUUUCAAACUCAGAAAUUCCCAUGCUUUUUCUAGAAGAUUUUUGUGAGAUUAAUCUCCAAAUUUCUGAGCUUUUCUCCAAGCAAGUUUUUUUUAUCAACAGUAAAACUUUUGAAAUAAGAAAAACUGACGUUUUAUGAAUAUAUAUGUCUUGUUUUAAGUAAAUAAUUUCUUAAUAUUUAUAUUUUUUAAAGUACUAGUUCCACUGGGAGAUAAAUUCACUUAUAACAAGACAUUUUUCCCAAGUGAAAUAGUCUGCCAAUUGAACAAAUACUUUUUUAAUCAAUAUUAAGGAGUUAUUAAUUUGGGUGAAAAAAAAAGAAUAAGUCAGCUUCUAUUAUCCAGUUAACCAGUUUUAUUCCCACUACUUAUACUUAAAUAUUAUCUACUUAAGUAUAAGUAGUUUAUACUUACUAAAAUAUGCAAGUACAUAUAAACACAGGAUAAUGACACUUAAAGCUAAUUGGUUCACAGUUAUCAAUUAAUGUCCCUUUAACAUAAAAGAUGCUCUUUUAUAAAUUUUAAUAAAAAAUAUGAAACAUCAGGAUGUUUUUGUUUUUUUCUGUGAAUGAUCCCAUCAUUAAAUUAUGUACAGUAAAUCCUCACUAUAAA
Molecule: RNA transcript, 2655 nt
Organism: Gambusia affinis (western mosquitofish)
Lineage: Eukaryota; Metazoa; Chordata; Actinopteri; Cyprinodontiformes; Poeciliidae
Gene: cluhb
Gene name: protein clueless
Exons: 5
Source: RefSeq, a predicted model, not a curated record